This is a long non-coding RNA of Monopterus albus (swamp eel), 753 nucleotides long. RefSeq lists it as uncharacterized. The record is from RefSeq and is a predicted model, not a curated record. NCBI's taxonomy places the organism in Eukaryota, Metazoa, Chordata, Actinopteri, Synbranchiformes, Synbranchidae. The transcript has 3 exons.
GGUGAUGUAGGAGUGGCCGGUGAUCCAGCCGAUGUCAGCUGUGCACCAGUACACGUCGUCAUGGUGAUAAUCAAAAACGUACUUGAAGUGGAGCCGCUGGUGUAGAGGAUGAACAGUGGGUCCUCAGCGUCCAGCCACUCGGGUUCACACUCUUCAGGAGAGUCUCUCAUCUCCUCAUCCCACCACACAUCACACUCUGAGUUCCAGGGAGUCUGAGCGUACCAGAACAACAGCUCACAUCUCUCCCAGACUCAUGUUGCCACGGGAGACGAGCAGCUUGGACUUCCCUGAUGAAUCUGAGUGCUCCAUGUUGCCCGGCAACCCCAUGAUAUGGAGACCAGGUGGUGCGUUUCCUCAGCCUCUCUGAUAACAGCUGAUAGGUCUUUGCUGUCUGUCUGUGUUUGUGUGUCCAGUGACUCAUAUGCUAAGGGCUGGGUCACAAGGUCAGCAGCAGCUAGUGUAAACAAGGACGGCUGCUGAGAAUGGAAAGACUGUUGCUUUGUAAGCAGGACCUACUUUUCCCUGCACUUCUUCAGAGCCUCGUCCACAAUCUGUUUCAGGUUGAUCAGCUUAUCUCCUCUGUACACACCAUCUGUAUAUUACAAAGGGUUGGAGGAAAAGGGGGGAUGAUGAGGUGUAUCAAUCAGCAGGGAAAAUGUGUUUGAACAAUGAGUCAUUUUACAACUUGAAAAUCAUCUUUAUACCCCCUGAGCACUUCAAAAUAUGGCUGCUGCUGUGUUGGCACAUAAGUUU